Molecule: ribosomal RNA, 253 nt
Filed under: uncultured bacterium
Lineage: Bacteria
Description: partial 16S ribosomal RNA
Rfam family: Bacterial small subunit ribosomal RNA
Source: RNAcentral
UACAAAGGGGGCAAGCGUUAUUCGGAAUUAUUGGGCGUAAAGGGCGCGUAGGCGGCUUUGCAAGUGACGGGUGAAAUCCCACGGCUUAACCGUGGAACUGCCUGUCAGACUGCAUGGCUUGAGACCAGGAGAGGUGAGUGGAAUUCCUAGUGUAGAGGUGAAAUUCGUAGAUAUUAGGAAGAACACCAGUGGCGAAGGCGGCUCACUGGUCCGGUACUGACGCUGAGGUGCGAAAGCGUGGGGAGCAAACAGG